GGGCUCUUGGCACAGUGGUAGCGCGCCUGCUUUGCAUGUUGAUAUGCUUGCAUGAGGUCGUGGGUUCAAUCCCCACAGUGUCCA
Molecule: transfer RNA, 84 nt
Filed under: Laccaria bicolor S238N-H82
Lineage: Eukaryota; Fungi; Basidiomycota; Agaricomycetes; Agaricales; Hydnangiaceae
Rfam family: tRNA
About the family: Transfer RNA (tRNA) molecules are approximately 80 nucleotides in length. Their secondary structure includes four short double-helical elements and three loops (D, anti-codon, and T loops). Further hydrogen bonds mediate the characteristic L-shaped molecular structure. tRNAs have two regions of fundamental functional importance: the anti-codon, which is responsible for specific mRNA codon recognition, and the 3' end, to which the tRNAs corresponding amino acid is attached (by aminoacyl-tRNA synthetases). tRNAs cope with the degeneracy of the genetic code in two manners: having more than one tRNA (with a specific anti-codon) for a particular amino acid; and 'wobble' base-pairing, i.e. permitting non-standard base-pairing at the 3rd anti-codon position.
Source: Rfam by way of RNAcentral